UACGUAGGGGGCUAGCGUUGUCCGGAAUCAUUGGGCGUAAAGAGCGUGUAGGCGGUCCGGUAAGUCCGCUGUGAAAGGCGGGGGCUCAACCCUCGAAUGCCGGUGGAUACUGUCGGGCUAGAGUGCGGAAGAGGCGAGUGGAAUUCCUGGUGUAGCGGUGAAAUGCGCAGAUAUCAGGAGGAACACCUAAUGCGAAGGCAGCUCGCUGGGACGUAACUGACGCUGAGACGCGAAAGCGUGGGGAGCAAACAGG
This 253-nucleotide ribosomal RNA is filed under the name uncultured bacterium. RNAcentral's name for it is "partial 16S ribosomal RNA". It matches the Rfam family "Bacterial small subunit ribosomal RNA", at positions 524 to 776 of the family's 1533-position model. The record is from RNAcentral.